RNAcentral lists this ribosomal RNA (497 nucleotides) under uncultured bacterium. RNAcentral describes it as "partial 16S ribosomal RNA". It matches the Rfam family "Bacterial small subunit ribosomal RNA", at positions 28 to 507 of the family's 1533-position model. The record is from RNAcentral.
GACGAACGCUGGCGGCGUGCCUAAUACAUGCCAGUUGAGCGAUGAAGCUUGGUGCUUGCACCAAUUUGAAGAGCAGCGAACGGGUGAGUAACGCGUGGGGAAUCUGCCUUUGAGCGGGGGACAACAUUUGGAAACGAAUGCUAAUACCGCAUAAUAACUUUAAACAUAAGUUUUAAGUUUGAAAGAUGCAAUUGCAUCACUCAAAGAUGAUCCCGCGUUGUAUUAGCUAGUUGGUGAGGUAAAGGCUCACCAAGGCGAUGAUACAUAGCCGACCUGAGAGGGUGAUCGGCCACAUUGGGACUGAGACACGGCCCAAACUCCUACGGGAGGCAGCAGUAGGGAAUCUUCGGCAAUGGACGAAAGUCUGACCGAGCAACGCCGCGUGAGUGAAGAAGGGUUUCGGAUCGUAAAACUCUGUUGGUAGAGAAGAACGUUGGUGAGAGUGGAAAGCUCAUCAAGUGACGGUAACUACCCAGAAAGGGACGGCUAACUACGUG